Molecule: small RNA, 355 nt
Filed under: uncultured fungus
Lineage: Eukaryota; Fungi
Description: eukaryotic LSU rRNA
Rfam family: 5.8S ribosomal RNA (bases 1-145)
Source: RNAcentral
CAACGGAUCUCUUGGUUCUGGCAUCGAUGAAGAACGCAGCGAAAUGCGAUAAGUAAUGUGAAUUGCAGAAUUCAGUGAAUCAUCGAAUCUUUGAACGCACAUUGCGCCCGCCAGUAUUCUGGCGGGCAUGCCUGUUCGAGCGUCAUUUCAACCCUCAAGCCCAGCUUGGUGUUGGGGAUCGGCACAGGCGCCCUCGGGCGCCAGCCGUCCCCUAAAUCUAGUGGCGGUCCCGCUGCAGCCUCCUCUGCGUAGUAGUUUUCUCCUCGCAAGGGCAGCUCGGUGGCGACCUCGCCGUAAAACCCCCAACUUCUGAAAGUUUGACCUCGAAUCAGGUAGGAAUACCCGCUGAACUUAA